RNAcentral lists this ribosomal RNA (436 nucleotides) under uncultured bacterium. Its description in RNAcentral is "partial 16S ribosomal RNA". It matches the Rfam family "Bacterial small subunit ribosomal RNA", at positions 29 to 507 of the family's 1533-position model. The record is from RNAcentral.
AGCGAACGCUGGCGGCAGGCUUAACACAUGCAAGUCGAGCGGGCAUCCUUGUGGUGUCAGCGGCAGACGGGUGAGUAACGCGUGGGAACGUGCCCUUCGGUUCGGAAUAACUCAGGGAAACUUUAGCUAAUACCGGAUACGCCCUUUUGGGGAAAGGUUUACUGCCGAAGGAUCGGUCCGCGUCUGAUUAGCUAGUUGGUGAGGUUACGGCUCACCAAGGCGACGAUCAGUAGCUGGUCUGAGAGGAUGAUCAGCCACACUGGGACUGAGACACGGCCCAGACUCGUACGGGAGGCAGCAGUGGGGAAUAUUGGACAAGGGGGGCAACCCUGAUCCAGCCAUGCCGCGGGAGUGAUAACAGCCUUAGGGUUGUAAAGCUCUUUUCUCCGGGACGAUAAUGACGGUACCGGAGGAAUAAGCCCCGGCUAACUUCGUG